AGCCUGGAAACUGGACUCACCUGGCUCGGAACUGCUGAGCACGUGGAUGUUUGUGGAGCGGGGAUAAAGUCUGGCCUGGAACUUCCACGAUUUGAGCUGGAAAUGGCAAUAAUUAAUUACACGUUCAAGAAAAAUUGGCC
Neopelma chrysocephalum (saffron-crested tyrant-manakin) is the source of this 140-nucleotide long non-coding RNA. RefSeq lists it as uncharacterized. The transcript is spliced from 3 exons. The record is from RefSeq and is a predicted model, not a curated record. Lineage: Eukaryota; Metazoa; Chordata; Aves; Passeriformes; Pipridae.